RNAcentral lists this transfer RNA (70 nucleotides) under Bolitobius castaneus. RNAcentral describes it as "tRNA-Val". Lineage: Eukaryota; Metazoa; Arthropoda; Insecta; Coleoptera; Staphylinidae. The record is from RNAcentral.
CAAAUUAGAACUUGAAAGAAAGUAUUUUAUUUACAUUAAAAAAUUAAUUGUGAAAUUCAAUUUAAUUUGA